This 392-nucleotide ribosomal RNA is filed under the name uncultured bacterium. RNAcentral describes it as "bacterial SSU rRNA". It matches the Rfam family "Bacterial small subunit ribosomal RNA", at positions 28 to 424 of the family's 1533-position model. The record is from RNAcentral.
GACGAACGCUGGCGGCGUGCUUAACACAUGCAAGUCGAGCGGUAAGGCCCUUUCGGGGGUACACGAGCGGCGAACGGGUGAGUAACACGUGGGUGACCUGCCCUUAGCUCUGGGAUAAGCCUGGGAAACUGGGUCUAAUACCGGAUAUGACUCCAUGACGCAUGUUGUGGGGUGGAAAGCCUUGUGCGGCUAGGGAUGGGCCUGCGGCCUAUCAGCUUGUUGGUGGGGUGAUGGCCUACCAAGGCGACGACGGGUAGCCGGCCUGAGAGGGCGACCGGCCACACUGGGACUGAGACACGGCCCAGACUCCUACGGGAGGCAGCAGUGGGGAAUCUUGCGCAAUGGGCGAAAGCCUGACGCAGCGACGCCGCGUGGGGAUGACGGCCUCGGUU